RNAcentral lists this ribosomal RNA (1188 nucleotides) under Desmodesmus sp. JS07. Its description in RNAcentral is "SSU rRNA". It matches the Rfam family "Eukaryotic small subunit ribosomal RNA", at positions 608 to 1439 of the family's 1831-position model. The record is from RNAcentral. Lineage: Eukaryota; Viridiplantae; Chlorophyta; Chlorophyceae; Sphaeropleales; Scenedesmaceae.
AGUUGUUGCAGUUAAAAGCUCGUAGUUGGAUUUCGGGUGGGUUUCAGCGGUCCGCCUAUGGUGAGUACUGCUGUGGCCUUCCUUACUGUCGGGGACCUGCUUCUGGGCUUCAUUGUCCGGGACAGGGAUUCGGCAUGGUUACUUUGAGUAAAUUAGAGUGUUCAAAGCAGGCUUACGCCGUGAAUACUUUAGCAUGGAAUAACAUGAUAGGACUCUGCCCUAUUCUGUUGGCCUGUAGGAGUGGAGUAAUGAUUAAGAGGAACAGUCGGGGGCAUUCGUAUUUCAUUGUCAGAGGUGAAAUUCUUGGAUUUAUGAAAGACGAACUACUGCGAAAGCAUUUGCCAAGGAUGUUUUCAUUAAUCAAGAACGAAAGUUGGGGGCUCGAAGACGAUUAGAUACCGUCGUAGUCUCAACCAUAAACGAUGCCGACUAGGGAUUGGCGGACGUUUUUGCAUGACUCCGUCAGCACCUUGAGAGAAAUCAAAGUUUUUGGGUUCCGGGGGGAGUAUGGUCGCAAGGCUGAAACUUAAAGGAAUUGACGGAAGGCGCACCACCAGGCGUUGAGUAUUGGCUCUAGCGCCUAAAAGUUUCCCUGAAAGGGGAGGCUAGUCGGUAGUGGCUCGCUACUGGUGAGAGCUGCUAUUCGGCUACACUGUCGAAUUGCGGGAAGUUCCUUAGAGCUCAAGCUACCAAGCUAGGGUGGAAACACACCUAGUGGCCAGGGUAAUGACCUCGGGUACGGUAAAAACGCUUGAGAUUGGAUAAUCCGCAGCCAAGCUCCUAAGGGCAGCAAUGCCUAUGGAGAAGGUUCAGAGACUAAGUGGCAGUGGGCUGAUUGCUGUUGCAAUUGGCUUAAGAUAGAGUCCGUCCCUACCGAGAGGUAGCUCUGAGAGGAAAGGCCUAACCAGCCCGGAGCUCAGAGAGCUUGUGCAUAUGCACAAGUGGGGUGAAACGGGAGCCUGCGGCUUAAUUUGACGGAAAACUUACCAGGUCCAGACAUAGGAAGGAUUGACAGAUUGAGAGCUCUUUCUUGAUUCUAUGGGUGGUGGUGCAUGGCCGUUCUUAGUUGGUGGGUUGUCUUGUCAGGUUGAUUCCGGUAACGAACGAGACCUCAGCCUUUAAAUAGUCACAGUCGCUUUUUGCGGCUGGCUUUUGACUUCUUAGAGGGACAGUUGGCGUUAGUCAACG